Oncorhynchus keta (chum salmon) is the source of this 1278-nucleotide long non-coding RNA. RefSeq lists it as uncharacterized. NCBI's taxonomy places the organism in Eukaryota, Metazoa, Chordata, Actinopteri, Salmoniformes, Salmonidae. The record is from RefSeq and is a predicted model, not a curated record. The transcript has 3 exons.
UUGAUGUUUCAGUUUAGUAUCAGGAAGAAAGGUGAUAGUGAUUUGAUGUUUCAGUUAGUAUCAGGAAGAAAGGUGAUAGUGAUUUGAUGUUUCAGUUUAGUAUCAGGAAGAAAGGUGAUAGUGAUUUGAUGUUUCAGUUUAGUAUCAGGAAGAAAGGUGAUAGUGAUUUGAUUUUUCAGUUUAGUAUCAGGAAGAAAGGUGAUGGUGAUUUGAUGUUUCAGUUUAGUAUCAGGAAGAAAGGUGAUAGUGAUUUGAUGUUUCAGUUAGUAUCAGGAAGAAAGGUGAUAGUGAUUUGAUUUUUCAGUUAGUAUCAGGAAGAAAUGUGAUAGUGAUUUGAUGUUUCAGUUAGUAUCAGGAAGAAAGGUGAUAGUGAUUUGAUGUUUCAGUUAGUAUCAGGAAGAAAGGUGAUAGUGAUUUGAUGUUUCAGUUUAGUAUCAGGAAGAAAGGUGAUAGUGAUUUGAUGUUUCAGUUUAGUAUCAGGAAGAAAGGUGAUAGUGAUUUGAUGUUUCAGUUUAGUAUCAGGAAGAAAGGUGAUAGUGAUUUGAUGUUUCAGUUUAGUAUCAGGAAGAAAGGUGAUAGUGAUUUGAUGUUUCAGUUUAGUAUCAGGAAGAAAGGUGAUAGUGAUUUGAUGUUUCAGUUUAGUAUCAGGAAGAAAGGUGAUAGUGAUUUGAUGUUUCAGUUUAGUAUCAGGAAGAAAGGUGAUAGUGAUUUGAUGUUUCAGUUUAGUAUCAGGAAGAAAGGUGAUAGUGAUUUGAUGUUUCAGUUUAGUAUCAGGAAGAAAGGUGAUAGUGAUUUGAUUUUUCAGUUUAGUAUCAGGAAGAAAGGUGAUGGUGAUUUGGGUCCUACUACCAUCAUAGGCAAAGGUGAUAAAACUGAUCUAUUUCUCAGGACUGCACGUCAUCAUUAUUCCCAGACAUGUGGAAACCUGUCUCUUAACUGGAUGGAGUAUGGCGUCUUUCCCUGGCCUGGGAUAAUAACACUAGUCUAUUUCUGUUGCUUCACUCAUAAAUCAGAAGAACUGGUCUGAGAACAGCAGCACAGUAGUUUGUGAUGCUAUCUUAUCCUGGUGUGACAGCGAGCUGCACAGGUCUUCCUGUGCAGAUUAUCCCAGUUUCUGCCUGUGUUCGUUUGUCUAUUGCUAUUGGCACAGGUCUGUGUAUUGUCUGUCUGCACAUGUGCAGUCCUGCGUUUUGGCCUGCUUCUCUUUUAGUCCGGAACGACAUCAAUAUCGUUUGAGUGACGGGACACAUGGAACUCCUCUGGCCUUGCUAUAAGCGC